Pseudopipra pipra is the source of this 2151-nucleotide long non-coding RNA. RefSeq lists it as uncharacterized. NCBI's taxonomy places the organism in Eukaryota, Metazoa, Chordata, Aves, Passeriformes, Pipridae. The record is from RefSeq and is a predicted model, not a curated record. The transcript is spliced from 6 exons.
CAUUUCCCUGCUUGGAAAAAUCCUUCUGUCUAUUCCAUUCUGAUUUCAGUAGGAAAUCUAAAAGUAUGGGAGAGAGAAACAUUAUGUCAGAACCAAGAUCCACGGUACAUAUCUAAAAAAAAAUAAGUUAUCCAUAUUUGAUGGCCAAGUUGUUUCUCUGGAAAAGGAAUCAUCUUGACUGUUAUCUUAAAAAUGCACAACAACUUUAGAAAUAAAGCACUGGUUGGUGCCCACGAGAUUUGAAUUCUUAUCUCAUCCUGACCUGAAUUUUCCAUCUAAUUAAGGUCUAAUUCUGAUUAAUUUGGCAGCUCGCUGCCAUUUUUUUCCUAUGUAAAUAUUCCUUGUGGGUUUCUGGAUCUCAGUUGUGCUCUCUGUAGAAGGGGCUGAGGAUCCUGCUGAGCUUGUGGGGGGCUGUGUGGCCAAGCACAGUAUUUAUAAAAUGGCAGUUUGUUGUUUGUAAGGUGCUACGGAACUGCUCUGUAUUCUAUAUCUGCAAUGAGUUGAUGGGUAAUUGUAGUGUCAUAGCUGUGAUCAUACUGUAUAGUAUGAUCUGUAGAACUUAAUAGUGCAAUAAGAGUUGAAUUAUUUUCCUACAGGACAUGGGCCACCACUUCCUGAGCAAAGAAGUGGCUUCGGUUUGGAAGCCCUCAGUCAGGAGAGCAGAACCAGUUUGAAACUGGACACGUGAACACACAACACAGCCUUGUUUCUUACAGUGUUAAAACUGGUUUCUUUUUGUGUUUCUUGAGUAUGUUAGAUACACUAAUGUGGCAUUUAGAGUUUACCUUUCACUCUCUGCAGGAUGUAUUUUACACUGUUUAUAUUACUCGGGGCCAGGUGAGAUCCCCUGGUCCUUGGUGGGCUGAUGAAAAGUCCUGGAAGCUCCCAGCUACAAGGCAGGGCAAUAAUUGCUCUGGAUUUAUAGUACCAUUGUAUCCCUCUCUAGGGACACUAUAAAUUCAAAUUCCUUUCCUGCUUCAUAGAUAUUCCUGGGAACAAAACCAAUUUUACACACUGAAAGCAAAACAGUGGAUUGUGCUCAUGCACAUUGCUUUGCAUGAUCCCAUCUGGGAUAGGAUGGAUGAAGGAAAGGAUGUCCAAGAAAAGUACAAACAGCUACACUUCUUAUGUAUUUGUAUGUCUGUGCAUGUUGAUAUUUAUAUUUGUCUGAGACCAGCAGUGACAACCAGGAGAUAGCUCAGUAAUGCCAGUUUUUUAUCUUUUCACCUUUUAUUUACUCAGGCUCUGUACAGUAACAUUCCUCAGUUAAAGUGAACCGUCUGAAUGACUUGGUUUUGAAACUUUUUCUUUCUUUUUUUAAUCUCUUGACCCCAUCAGAGGCUGUAAUCAAGGUGUUUAUACAACAAUAUUUCCUUUUUUUCAGUGUUAUAGCACCGUAACAUGAGCAGCUCCACCAUGCCACAGGUAUCUGUCAUUCCACAGAUUUGCUGAAUCACAGUAAAAAGUCACAUUGUCUGACUUUUCAAGACUGAAGGGAAGACAUGCAGGUGCACUCCAUUCCAGCAGCAAUAAUCACAGGAAAUAUGGAAAACAUACAGUACCAAAUUGUGCUUUUUGGACACAUUUGUGUAAUGUUGCCUUCCAUGGACUAGAGAAAUGAAGCUUGGAUUAAAGCUCACUCCACUGGGGAGAAAACAGAUUUUCUUUUCCAGUGUCUUCAAACAGAAAGCAAAAGCUUUUUCAGACGUUGUCCUGCCUUGUUCUGACUGCAAAUUCGAGAAUCUGUUUCACAUCUAUGCCUGAAAUGGAAGGAGCUUCCUGAGUGGAUUUACCUGGUGAUGGUAAAGCCUGAGCAAUGAUCCCAUGUGUCUUCUGUGAUGUGACAUAAAGCUACAGGUGUCAACAAGACUCUAAGAAAGAAGUCUGUUCUCUGAGCUGCUGGAGAACAAGGGCAGCUCAGGCCACCCCAAACCUCGGGAGAUCGAUGGUGUCAGCAGCUGAUGAUCUAAUUCGGGAUUAUUUGGGUCAGACUCUUUUAUCCCAGACACACAAAGGAGAUGAACACGACCCCUCUGACAGAGUUAACCAGAAGUUAUGAGCAUUAAUUUCCUGCCUCCCAGCACUGGUUGCCUGACUGUCUUGAGCUGAUGCCUGAAGCACAUUGAGGACAAAAGGAGCUGCAGACAGAGG